CACUUCUUGACAUGGAAAUCAUACCUAUUCAAAGGGAUAGGGUCGGUUCGGCCGGAUUUUACACAAGUGUUGCGUGGAUGUCUUCAGCUCGUGUCCUGAGAUGUUGGGUUUAGUCCCCCAACGAGCGCAACCCUCAUCCUUAGUUGCUAUCAGGUAAUGCUGAGUACUUUAAGGAAACUGCCAUUGAUAACCUGGACGAAGGUGAGGAUGAUGUCCAGUCAUCGUGGCCUUUAUGGAGUGGGCUACCCACGUGCUACAAUGGUGUCUACAAUGGGCUGCAAGGUGCGCAAGCCUAACCUAAUCCCUAAAAGACAUCUCACUUCCGAUUGUACUCUGCAACUCGAGUACAUGAAGUUGGAAUCGCUAGUAAUCCUGGAUCAGCAUGCCACGGGGAAUACGUUCUC
Molecule: ribosomal RNA, 404 nt
Filed under: Wolbachia endosymbiont of Ectropis obliqua
Lineage: Bacteria; Pseudomonadati; Pseudomonadota; Alphaproteobacteria; Rickettsiales; Anaplasmataceae
Description: bacterial SSU rRNA
Rfam family: Bacterial small subunit ribosomal RNA
Source: RNAcentral